Molecule: long non-coding RNA, 2193 nt
Filed under: Canis lupus familiaris (dog)
Lineage: Eukaryota; Metazoa; Chordata; Mammalia; Carnivora; Canidae
Description: lncRNA (ENSCAFG00040004432.1)
Source: RNAcentral
CUUACUGCAAACUCAAAGAAGAUUUUAUUUAUUUUUUUUUUCAAAGAAGAUUUUAAAGAGUGAGUUUGGUGCCACUCUCCUCCUCUCCUUCAAGGAAAAAAGCUUCUUCUAUCCUCAGGACUUGCUGAGCUUUAGAGAGUGAAGAAGAUUCAUCACCCAGGCAAGGGGCAGGGCUCUCAACCUGGAACCGAGACCGAUUCCGGAGAAAACAGGAGAGGACACUAUUAGAGAGAAUAUUGUUGGUCGCACUUCCAUCCUACCUUUUCACUCACUUCUCCUCAUGGAAAAAGAAGAGCCCAGAAGAGCCCAGCACAUCUGGGAUACAGUCUCUCCUGGGGUCCUACACAUGGUACGGAAUUAGACACUGGAGAUGCCAAUAUGAAGACAUUGUAUUUUGAAGAAGACAAGCGUAGAUUUCCAUAAUAAUAUAAUGUGCUGUAUUUGGGUGCUGUAACUGAGAGACAAUAUUCUUAGUAGCUUCAGCUCUCAAGUAAUUUGGUAGGAAUUUAAAGCCUACUCCAUAUCUCAUCAGGUUAAAUAUUUGUCCAAGACAAGUUUUUCCACCAGUUUCCUCAUUUGUUAAAUGACAUUGAUAACAAUACCUACAUUAUAAGGAGGAGUAAAUUAGGUAAUGUCUGUCUCUAGAAUAGUGAGUGACAUAAUUACACACUGAUAUUAGCUAUACCUAAUACUGCUCUUGUUGUUAUAAAAGAAUUAUUGUACUCAAAGGCCAAAGAGGAAGAAGUGACUUAUGCAAGCUAGGAAGGGAAGAGGAUCAUAAUUAAGUAGAGAAGGGAGGGAAACAAUGCAAAGAGGUACGAAAAAAAGCAGAGCAGGUCCAGAGAACAAUGACUUUUCAGAAUGUAAUUGAAGUGAAAUGAUGGGAAAUUUGGACUAUAUAUAUUUGAAGCUCCUAAGUCUUUCAGAAAAGAACAUGAUCAGAUUUGGCUGUGGGGAGCAUUGAUGGGGGGAAGGGGAAAAAGUAUGACAAGAGACCUGGAACACAGAUCUGACUCUGGGCAGAUGAGAUUACAGAGAAUUGAGACUCCAUCAAAUUGUCUGGAUGAGACCCUGAACACAAUCUGAAGCUGGAACAUUAAAGAUGCAGACUGAGGUAUACGCUUAUAAAUUAUUUUAGACAUAUACAUGAUGAGAAGGUGGGCUUUAAGGCGGACUCAUUUCUAAUUUGUGUAACUAGAGUAAAUGAGUAAAUUUACAAAUGAGUAAGUGUCUAUUAGCUAAGACAGGGGACACAAUGAUACUUAUUACAAUUUUUAAUAAGUAUAAUAACAAUUAUACUUAUUAAUAAUUUAAUAAUAAGAGCUUAUUUAGCUCUUAAUUUGUACCAGGUUCUGCUAUAAAUACUUAUAAUGUGUUAAUUUAUUUAAUUAUCUUAAUGACGUUACAAGAAACUUGUAUUAUUUCCGUUUUUUCAGAUAUGAAAGCUGUGGGACAUGGAGAAAAAGUAACUUUUCCAAGGUCACAUAGCUAGCGACCAGUACAGUGGGAUAGCAAAUGUGAGUGAAUAGUUGAAAACACUGUACCUCUGAGUUCUGUGUUCUAUAGCUUCACUAGUCAGGAGAAGAACUAGCUCUGAGGAGAUAACUGGGAAAUAAGAUGAAUAAAGCUUAGCCUUAGGAAGGAACUCAAAUAAAGACUUCACUAUUCUUUCUGCAGCAUUCCAUACAUUUACAGUGUCAACACAGCACCAUUAUAAAUUCCUCAUUUUAAUUACUAAUCAACUUGAUCAUGUCUUUCUUACAAAUGUGUAUUACUUUCAACCAAAGGCUAGUCUGGAAUGAUUUCUUAUUAAUUAAUAUAUUCUUGCUCCUUGUGGUCAGGUACCCCUUUCAUUUUGGAUGUUAAUAUUUUCUAUUAUGCUGAGCUUUAUCUCAUUAUAGAUGGAGACUUAUUUAUAGUUAUGUCUAUAAAAUUAAUUAGAUAUUUAUUUAUUAAUGUAGAUCUGGGUGAUGGAAACUAAAUAUAAUCCUAAACCUGUGUCUCAGGAAACCAGUGAGGAUCCUCUCAAAAUUCCAUAUUGGCUUAUCAUUAUAUAUUUGUGUUAACUGCCUGCUUUUAUCCAUAUUAAUAAAGUCUUAAAUAUGCUAAUGAACAACUCUGUCUCUACAAUAUUCUUUGAUCUAUAGUAUCAAGGGGCCUAUUUAUUACAUACAUCAAACUACAGAAUGUUAG